Cinara cedri is the source of this 233-nucleotide non-coding RNA. The record is from the annotation of a GenBank genome assembly. NCBI's taxonomy places the organism in Eukaryota, Metazoa, Arthropoda, Insecta, Hemiptera, Aphididae.
AUCCGAUCCGAGACGACCGGCUCGAGCAACACCCUACAUCUGAUAUGUGUGGCUAUAUCAUUACCUAUUUCAUACCGACUAUUCAUAUCAUCGUCUACUGCGAAAAUUAUUUAUUAGUAUGUACCUACCAUCUCUUAGAGUUCGUAUGUGUAUUAGUGAUAUUUUGUACUAUAUAGUUUUUAUGCGAUAUUUUUUCAAGUUACAGCAGCUCAGAAGACGAAUGAGAUGAUUUA